CAGAUUAUAAUUUAAUAUAAAAUACUAGCUUUGGGAGCUAGCAUUCGGAAUAUCCGUAAUCUGA
This 64-nucleotide transfer RNA is filed under the name Platynereis sp. 1 PA-2020. RNAcentral describes it as "tRNA-Pro". The record is from RNAcentral. Lineage: Eukaryota; Metazoa; Annelida; Polychaeta; Phyllodocida; Nereididae.